This 375-nucleotide long non-coding RNA is filed under the name Capsicum annuum. RNAcentral's name for it is "long non-coding RNA (CANN_LNC007544)". Lineage: Eukaryota; Viridiplantae; Streptophyta; Magnoliopsida; Solanales; Solanaceae. The record is from RNAcentral.
UCUACCUUGAUCGACAGAAUGUUAAGUUGAAUCUUGGAAGGUUCCGUAAAAGAUUGCUUCGCGCCUAUUAUCAUUCUGUCGCUAAUGAAAGCGCGCGCUUUCGCCUUCAAAGUCAGUAAUUGUAUACCUUUUUGUGGUUCAUCAAAUAUAUUUACUCAAUUGUGAAAGUUAGUAGAGUUGUACAUCAUGAUUCAGAAUAAAAGAAAUGAACAUUGAUUCUUGUUUGUGUAAUCAUCUGGUAUUCGAAACUCACUAGCUCACUGGCCGAUCAUCUCGAUUCUUUGGCUUACUAUCGGGGAUUUGCCACGUAUAAAGUUUCUGUAAUCCGAGCGGACUAGGAAUCACAUCCAUCCUAUCGUAGUUCUCGAAGGAAAC